CGAAAGCCUGACGGAGCAAUACCGCGUGAGGGAUGACGGCCUAUGGGUUGUAAACCUCUUUUCUCAGGGAGGAAAUCAAUGACGUUACCUGAGGAAUAAGCAUCGGCUAACUCCGUGCCAGCAGCCGCGGUAAUACGGAGGAUGCAAGCGUUAUCCGGAAUCACUGGGCGUAAAGCGUCUGUAGGUGGUUUAGCAAGUCAACUGUUAAAUCUUGAGGCUCAACCUCAAAAUCGCAGUCGAAACGGUUAGACUAGAGUAUAGUAGAGGUAAAGGGAAUUUCCAGUGGAGCGGUGAAAUGCGUAGAUAUUGGAAAGAACACCGAUGGCGAAAGCACUUUACUGGGCUAUUACUAACACUCAGAGACGAAAGCUAGGGUAGCA
This 380-nucleotide ribosomal RNA is filed under the name uncultured cyanobacterium. RNAcentral's name for it is "bacterial SSU rRNA". It matches the Rfam family "Bacterial small subunit ribosomal RNA", at positions 376 to 770 of the family's 1533-position model. Lineage: Bacteria; Bacillati; Cyanobacteriota. The record is from RNAcentral.